AGAUAGAUAAUCAGUCUUGAAGCAAAGGUGAUAUAACUGGUCUGCAGUUGUUGAUGACAAGAAGAAUCCCAAACUUUUGACUUAUCCUUGCUUCCUCGUAAGGCUUCCGCAAUCGAAAUGGGACUUUUUCAGCCGCAACCGUGAUAGAUUCUUUGCUUUUAUCGCUUCACCUAAACAACGAGCGAGGAUAACUCCAUCUUCCAUGGCUGAGCAACCCCCUUGUCCGAUAUCAGGAGUCAUUGGGUGAAGUGCAUCCCCUGCAACGCACACAUUGUCUUUUGUGAUGUUUGACCAUAGCAGUUCCCAUGGAGGUCGGUACUUCAGUCGAGACAUCACCAUGCUAUCAAGAUCCGUGGUCUCCACCACAUUCUUAAUGUUUUCAGGCAAUUCUUUGAUCUUGUUCAGCACAAACUCUUUGAGGAUUGCCGGAUUUGUCUCCUCAUCUAACAAGCGCAAGGAGAAGAGUCAAAAACAGUAGUUUGAUUAUGAACAAGAAGCUGCUUGUAGAUAGAUAUCAUAUCAGGUAAAGUUGCAUAUAUUUACCUAUAUCAGUGGAGGUGUGGGUUAGGAACCAGUAGACCGUGUUGUGGUCACAGGUGACAAAACCCGAACGAACACCGUCUCCAUAAAACUGGAAGAACUUUUUCCCAAAUCCGUGGCCUUCCGGGAAAUGUGUGAGCCCUCGGAUUGCUAACCGGGCAGUUGUAGCCAGAUUUUUGAAGCCUAGCCACUUACCAACUACUGAGUACACUCCAUCGCACCCUACCAAAACCUGAAUGUCGUUUAGAAACCCUACAAUUCCGUAGCAAGACCAGGCCUCACAUGGUUUACAGAAAACAAGUAGUUACUACCUUGGUUUUGAGAAUGGUCCCGUCGGAGAGAUGAACCAUCUUGUAGCGUCCAGACAGAUCGAUAUGAACAACUUUAGACGAAUACCUUAUGGUCUCUUCAGGUAACUCACCUGCUAGAGCCUCUAACAACAGUUUCCUAUAGAAGAAGAAACAUACUCGGAUUCUGGAAACAGCAUCUCUUUAGAAGGAUUUCCUGCAGAAAUUGGUCCAACCACCCAUCUGCAUCAAGAUCAAAGAUGAUGAGUUCUCUAGUAUACAGAGCUGAUUAUGAAUAGUAAUAAUAGUGUUAGUUUGAUACCCUUGAAGGCGAUCAUGGAGAGUGCGAAUAUGUUGAGCAACGUCGAGAGCUUCCAUGGCCUUCCAAGCAUUGAAAUAAGUCGUAAGAGCAAACCCUGUCGCUCUCAGUUUCUCUGAAGAUUCCAGCACCAUGCUUUUGAUCCCAAGCCUGUGCCACAGACACACACACCACUUUUGUUAACUUACUCUGCUUCAUAACAACUCAAAAGGCGUACAUACACACACACCUGUGUAGUCCAACAGCGGUGGAAAGCCCGGAGAUUCCGGCGCCGACGAUGAUGAUGCCUGGAGUGCCUUCUUCUUCCAUGGUGCGUUGAUGAUCUUAGAAAGAAAGCUCUGUUUUUUCUUCCUCACUUAUAUAUUUAUUUUUAAGUAAACCAAAAAAUGCGGUGGAAAAUGGCAAGUCAGACACGGCACCCUGUCUAAGGCAAGCGGCAACAGUAAUCAAAUAUCGAAUCUUUUAUAGUAUCUUUUAAGCAGUUAUUUAUAUAUUGUCACACUUUAUCCUGUUCUAGCUAGGGAGUAAAUAAUUUUACAUUCUAAA
This is a long non-coding RNA of Arabidopsis lyrata subsp. lyrata, 1692 nucleotides long. RefSeq lists it as uncharacterized. The record is from RefSeq and is a predicted model, not a curated record. Lineage: Eukaryota; Viridiplantae; Streptophyta; Magnoliopsida; Brassicales; Brassicaceae. The transcript is spliced from 3 exons.